RNAcentral lists this ribosomal RNA (525 nucleotides) under Paraburkholderia sp. RNAcentral describes it as "bacterial SSU rRNA". It matches the Rfam family "Bacterial small subunit ribosomal RNA", at positions 844 to 1373 of the family's 1533-position model. The record is from RNAcentral. Lineage: Bacteria; Pseudomonadati; Pseudomonadota; Betaproteobacteria; Burkholderiales; Burkholderiaceae.
UAACGUAGCUAACGCGUGAAGUUGACCGCCUGGGGAGUACGGUCGCAAGAUUAAAACUCAAAGGAAUUGACGGGGACCCGCACAAGCGGUGGAUGAUGUGGAUUAAUUCGAUGCAACGCGAAAAACCUUACCUACCCUUGACAUGUAUGGAACCCUGCUGAAAGGUGGGGGUGCCCGAAAGGGAGCCAUAACACAGGUGCUGCAUGGCUGUCGUCAGCUCGUGUCGUGAGAUGUUGGGUUAAGUCCCGCAACGAGCGCAACCCUUGUCCCUAGUUGCUACGCAAGAGCACUCUAGGGAGACUGCCGGUGACAAACCGGAGGAAGGUGGGGAUGACGUCAAGUCCUCAUGGCCCUUAUGGGUAGGGCUUCACACGUCAUACAAUGGUCGGAACAGAGGGUCGCCAACCCGCGAGGGGGAGCCAAUCCCAGAAAACCGAUCGUAGUCCGGAUCGCACUCUGCAACUCGAGUGCGUGAAGCUGGAAUCGCUAGUAAUCGCGGAUCACCAUGCCGCGGUGAAUACGUUC